CCAGGUAGAACAGAACCGUCAUUUUUGCGCAGUAAGUAACGCUCAGCUUCUUCAAUUUGAACCAGAUCGCAAUAGAGAAAUAUCAAGAGGAAAUGAAAACGAGAUGGACCGAACCAAUAAAGAAAAAAGUCGGCCGGAAGUGCUAGUGUUUGAGCGGCUGCUGCUUGGACAUGCCAACCGGAAAUUAGUUCGUUUGCUGCAAAGAUCGCAAAAAGCUUCGGUUUCCAAAUCAAGCGGUUAACGGAUGACGCUGCCACCGCCAUGUUCCAUAUAGGCGUUUCUACGACGGCUCUCAACAUGGCGGCUACGGCCACGGCACCGGGGUCAGGCAGGGUGACCCGCUCGGCG
Molecule: long non-coding RNA, 348 nt
Organism: Poeciliopsis prolifica (blackstripe livebearer)
Lineage: Eukaryota; Metazoa; Chordata; Actinopteri; Cyprinodontiformes; Poeciliidae
Exons: 3
Source: RefSeq, a predicted model, not a curated record